UACGAAGGGGGCUAGCGUUGUCCGGAAUUAUUGGGCGUAAAGCGCACGUAGGCGGACUAUUAAGUCAGGGGUGAAAUCCCGGGGCUCAACCCCGGAACUGCCUUUGAUACUGGUAGUCUCGAGUCCGGAAGAGGUGAGUGGAAUUCCGAGUGUAGAGGUGAAAUUCGUAGAUAUUCGGAGGAACACCAGUGGCGAAGGCGGCUCACUGGUCCGGUACUGACGCUGAGGUGCGAAAGCGUGGGGAGCAAACAGG
This 253-nucleotide ribosomal RNA is filed under the name uncultured bacterium. RNAcentral describes it as "partial 16S ribosomal RNA". It matches the Rfam family "Bacterial small subunit ribosomal RNA", at positions 524 to 776 of the family's 1533-position model. The record is from RNAcentral.